GAUGAACGCUGGCGGUACGUCUGACACAUGCAAGUCGAACGGCAAGCCACCUUCGGGUGGCCUAGAGUGGCGAACGGCUGAGUAACACGUAGGAACUUACCCCUCAGUUCGGGAUAACGGGACGAAAGCCCCGCUAAUACCGGAUAAUAUCGAAAGAUUGAAAGGUUUACUGCUGAGGGAGAGGCCUGCGGGCUAUUAGCUAGAUGGUGGGGUAAUGGCUCACCAUGGCGAUGAUGGCUAGCUGGUCUGAGAGGAUGAUCAGCCAGACUGGGACUGAGACACGGCCCAGACUCCUACGGGAGGCAGCAGUUCAGAAUCUUGCACAAUGGGCGAAAGCCUGAUGCAGCGAUACCGCGUGGGU
Molecule: ribosomal RNA, 361 nt
Filed under: uncultured bacterium
Lineage: Bacteria
Description: bacterial SSU rRNA
Rfam family: Bacterial small subunit ribosomal RNA
Source: RNAcentral